GGAGAAUGUUAUCACGGGAGACACACGGCGGGUGCUAACGUCCGUCGUGAAGAGGGAAACAACCCAGACCGCCAGCUAAGGUCCCAAAGUCAUGGUUAAGUGGGAAACGAUGUGGGAAGGCCCAGACAGCCAGGAUGUUGGCUUAGAAGCAGCCAUCAUUUAAAGAAAGCGUAAUAGCUCACUGGUCGAGUCGGCCUGCGCGGAAGAUGUAACGGGGCUAAACCAUGCACCGAAGCUGCGGCAGCGACACUAUGUGUUGUUGGGUAGGGGAGCGUUCUGUAAGCCUGUGAAGGUGUACUGUGAGGUAUGCUGGAGGUAUCAGAAGUGCGAAUGCUGACAUAAGUAACGAUAAAGCGGGUGAAAAGCCCGCUCGCCGGAAGACCAAGGGUUCCUGUCCAACGUUAAUCGGGGCAGGGUGAGUCGACCCCUAAGGCGAGGCCGAAAGGCGUAGUCGAUGGGAAACAGGUUAAUAUUCCUGUACUUGGUGUUACUGCGAAGGGGGGACGGAGAAGGCUAUGUUGGCCGGGCGACGGUUGUC
This 538-nucleotide ribosomal RNA is filed under the name Escherichia coli. RNAcentral describes it as "partial 23S ribosomal RNA". It matches the Rfam family "Bacterial large subunit ribosomal RNA", at positions 964 to 1506 of the family's 2925-position model. The record is from RNAcentral. Lineage: Bacteria; Pseudomonadati; Pseudomonadota; Gammaproteobacteria; Enterobacterales; Enterobacteriaceae.